Molecule: ribosomal RNA, 432 nt
Filed under: uncultured bacterium
Lineage: Bacteria
Description: partial 16S ribosomal RNA
Rfam family: Bacterial small subunit ribosomal RNA
Source: RNAcentral
AACGAACGCUGGCGGCAUGCCUAACACAUGCAAGUCGAACGAGACCUUCGGGUCUAGUGGCGCACGGGUGCGUAACGCGUGGGAACCUGCCCUUAGGUUCGGAAUAACUCCCCGAAAGGGGUGCUAAUACCGGAUAAUGUCUUCGGACCAAAGAUUUAUCGCCUUUGGAUGGGCCCGCGUUGGAUUAGCUAGUUGGUAGGGUAAAAGCCUACCAAGGCGACGAUCCAUAGCUGGUCUGAGAGGAUGAUCAGCCACACUGGGACUGAGACACGGCCCAGACCCCGAGGGGAGGAAGCAGGGGGGAAUAUUGGAAAAGGGGCGAAAGCCUGAUACAGCAAGGCCGGGGGAGUGAGGAAGGCCUUAGGGUGGUAAAGCUCUUUUACCCGGGAUGAUAAGGAAAGGACCGGGAAAAAAAGCCCCGGCUAACCCCGG